AAAUUCUCAGCAGCCUUUAAAGCUCAUUUGAGUGUAUGGGUUGGCGUUUGAGGUGAGGCAAGGAGAGGCAGUGCAGGACAGCGAGAGAGGCAGAAGGGACUUGACAUUAGCCAGAGAUAUUCUUCAAGAUGGCGGAGAGCACAGAUCUGGAGCAGCUGAUGAACUCCUUUAAGAAGUUUGCGAUCCACGGAGACACCAAGGCGACAGGGAAGGAGAUGAACGGGAAGAACUGGGCUAAACUGUGUAAGGACUGCAAGAUCAUCGACGGGAAGAAUGUCACCGGCACUGACGUGGAUAUCGUCUUCACGAAAGUCAAAGCGAAGACGUCCCGGGUGAUCACCUACGAGGAAUUCCAGAAAGCCCUGGAGGAGCUGGCCCCGAAGAGGUUUAAAGGUCAGAGCAAAGAGGAGGCCCUAACGUCUGUCUACAAGCUGAUAGAGGGCAAGGAGCCCACCAACGUAGGAGUCACGAAAAUGGCGAAGACAGCCGCAGUGGACAGACUGACGGACACCACCAAGUACACAGGCUCCCACAAAGAGCGCUUCGACGAGAGCGGGAAGGGGAGGGGUAAGGGCGGGGGGGAGGAGCUGGUGGAGGAGACGGGAUACGUCGGCUCCUACAAGAACGCCGGAACCUACGAGGAGAAAACCAAGGCUAAGUAGACCACCGGGCCAGGCGCGGUGGUCAACAGGCCCAGUAGACCACCGGGCCAGGCGGUGUGGUCAACAGGCCCAGUAGACCACCGGGCCAGGCGGUGUGGUCAACAGGCCCAGUAGACCACCGGGCCAGGCGGUGUGGUCAACAGGCCCAGUAGACCACCGGGCCAGGCGGUGUGGUCAACAGGCCCAGUAGACCACCGGGCCAGGCGGUGUGGUCAACAGGCCCAGUAGACCACCGGGCCAGGCGGUGUGGUCAACAGGGCCAGUAGACCACCGGGCCAGGCGGUGUGGUCAACAGGUCCAGUAAACCACCGGGCCAGGCGGUGUGGUCAACAGGUCCAGUAGACCACCGGGCCAGGCGCGGUGGUCAAAAGGCCCACAACAUGAGAUGUAUCCCAAAUUACAUCCUACUUUAUACAGUCCACUACUUUGACCAGAGCGCUAUGGGUCCUGGUAUAAAGUAGUGCACUAUAUAGGGAAUAGAGUUCCAUAGGACUCUGGUCUAAAGUAGUGCACUAUAUAGGGAAUAGGGUUCCAUUUGAGACACUUCUAGGGUCACUAUCCCCUCGGCCCCCCCCCCUCCCCCUACAGUCGGGACCAAACCCUGAACCCAGAACUCUGACCCCUAACCACAGGCUUAACCCCUGGCCCUUUCAACAGAGGCUGUCCUCUCUUAUCUUUGAUGUGUCCUGAGGGGGUGUGUGUGUGUUGUGAUCGGGGAUGAUGAGAGAGAGAACAUGCUUUUUACUUUUAUUAUAGCUAUGGAGGUCGUGAGGUGAUCUCCUUCAACAGAGAUAUGACCGAUAGACAGGUCGUGAGGUGAUCUCCUUCAACAGAGAUAUGACUGAUAGACAGGUCGUGAGGUGAUCUCCUUAAACAGAGAUAUGACCGAUAGACAGGUCGUGAGGUGAUCUCCUUCAACAGAGAUAUGACCGAUAGACAGGUCGUGAGGUCAUCUCCUUCAACAGAGAUAUGACCGAUAGACAGGUCAUGAGGUGAUCUCCUUCAACAGAGAUAUGACCGAUAGACAGGUCGUGAGGUCAUCUCCUUCAACAGAGAUAUGACCGAUAGACAGGUCGUGAGGUGAUCUCCUUCAACAGAGAUAUGACCGAUAGACAGGUCAUGAGGUGAUCUCCUUCAACAGAGAUAUGACCGAUAGACAGGUCAUGAGGUGAUCUCCUUCAACAGAGAUAUGACCGAUAGACAGGUCAUGAGGUCAUCUCCUUCAACAGAGAUAUGACCGAUAGACAGGUCGUGAGGUGAUCUCCUUCAACAGAGAUAUGACCGAUAGACAGGUCGUGAGGUGAUCUCCUUCAACAGAGAUAUGACCGAUAGACAGGUCGUGAGGUGAUCUCCUUCAACAGAGAUUUGUCUGAUGUGUGUUUACAGAUGACUAGAUCAGAAUGCUCUGUUCACUGUCAAACCUGGCCUGCCCUGAGACUGUACAUAGACCUGUGAUAUACCAUACCUUCACCUUGCUUUGGUUUUAACAUGUGGAGUUGCACUGUGAAAUAUUGAUGCAAGAGUUGCUCUGGAAUUGAAUGAAACAUCCACUGUAAAGUCAAACGUCAGCACCAAGACCGUGAUUAGACAAAACACAUACUGGUCAAAUAAUCUGACAUUGUGCCGUGUUUCCAUAGGCUUCAAACCAUGAAUGUCCUCUUUGAAUUGAGUU
Molecule: RNA transcript, 2334 nt
Organism: Oncorhynchus masou masou (cherry salmon)
Lineage: Eukaryota; Metazoa; Chordata; Actinopteri; Salmoniformes; Salmonidae
Gene name: tubulin polymerization-promoting protein family member 3-like
Exons: 5
Source: RefSeq, a predicted model, not a curated record